RNAcentral lists this ribosomal RNA (314 nucleotides) under uncultured Ruminococcus sp. RNAcentral describes it as "bacterial SSU rRNA". It matches the Rfam family "Bacterial small subunit ribosomal RNA", at positions 28 to 339 of the family's 1533-position model. The record is from RNAcentral. Lineage: Bacteria; Bacillati; Bacillota; Clostridia; Eubacteriales; Oscillospiraceae.
GACGAACGCUGGCGGCACGCCUAACACAUGCAAGUCGAACGGAGAAUGCUUAGCUUGCUAUGCAUUCUUAGUGGCGGACGGGUGAGUAACACGUGAGCAACCUGCCUCUGAGAGAGGGAUAGCUUCUGGAAACGGAUGGUAAUACCUCAUAACGCAGCAAAACCGCAUGAUUUUGCUGCCAAAGAUUUAUCACUCAGAGAUGGGCUCGCGUCUGAUUAGCUAGUUGGUGAGGUAACGGCUCACCAAGGCGACGAUCAGUAGCCGGACUGAGAGGUUGAACGGCCACAUUGGGACUGAGACACGGCCCAGACUCC